CCUCUGCACAUCAACAGAAUACUGCAGAGAAGUGUUCACUGAAAAUGCGGAAAACAAGAUCCAUUUCACGGUUUACAUCACAGACAUCAAACAACUUGAGGUCAAGCCUAAAAUAAAUAAAUCAAAGACCAAAGAAUAUCUCUUGAGGCAUAUGCUCAUAGAGUUUAUAUCCAUAGGAAAAGGAUACAACAUAUAUUAUUAUAUCUCAGUCAUGGCAGUACAUCAAGCAGGCAUCAAUAUGACAUCCACCAUGAUAUCUUUUAUUGGAGCAACGAAAGAAAAUACACACAAGCACAUAAACAAACUGACACACUGGUUUGGAUACUCUCAAUGGGAUCCUGUUUUAUUGAACACGAUGGUGAGACAUAACUUUGACCUGUGAAAUCUAAGACCAAGCAUAUGCAUUAUUAGUCAUCAAGGGAUGCCAAGAGAGUAUCCCCCUUACAGAAACUGUCACAAGCAACACCGCAGCGUUUCACAUAGAGUUUCAUCUCUUCAGUACUGUUGUCAGCUGGUGCCAAAAUAGGAUAGUAUGCGUCAAGAACUAACUUUUCAAUUAGUUUGCAUGUACAAAUGAAAUAUAAAUAUACUCAGAUGGAUUUUAUUUACCUGUGUUGAUCAUGUUGUCACACACGGAAGACCUACAUCCCAAGCUGCAAUACUCAAUGGCGUUUGGUUCAUCUGCCAAAACGAAGUAGAUCUGAGAUAAACAAUUCCUCCGUUACAAUAUGUCGAUGUUUUGUGUAUGGGAUGGCCUCUAUCAUUCAUUCUUUAUUAGCUGUUUUCACAACAAUUUUUGGUAGAUUUUUUCUAGUAUAAUGAAAAAUCCUUCAUGUCAAAUCUUAUCAUACAAAUAUGAACUAACAAAUUCAGAAUAGUUUAUUGUAUUAAUAGCUAAACUUGGAAUUUUUUUUAGUUUGACAUUACACUUUUUUAGGAUCACAUCUACUUUGAAAAGGAGAUAGUAUAUAAAUUAGAAGUAGCGAGUUGUCUGUCUUUACCGGAGCUGCGUACAGAGGCCAGGCCCGCGGGGAGUCGACAAGCACAGAAGUCUGCGCACUGGAACACUGUACUAGGACCGAGAAGGCAAGAGUUGAAGCAGGCCACUUUGAAGGGGUUUGCGCCGCAGUCCACGCCCUCUACUUGCACCUGCUCCAGGACCAGCCCCAGCACCAGUAGGCACACGAUCGCACUCUCCAGACCCUUUUGGCCUCCUCCCAUGGCUAUGGUUGCCGGGCUCUCUUGCAGAAGGCACAAGUAUUAAUGGGGGCUUCUGGUUGAAGGACAGAUGAGACUAGAGUGAGUUCCAUGGCUCCUGGUAGGGAUUUUUAUACUAGGAGAUGAUGGUCGUGGGAGUGCCUAGAUGAGUACUGGUUGUUGCACGUGAAACCAAAGCACACCGGGGCCAUAGUGUCUUUUCUUCUCCCACACGGGGCAAAAAGUUGGAUCGAUGGCGCGCGGACAAAGUUGGCCGGAGCCGAAGACGGUGACAAUGCUGUGACCUGCGCGAAGCUAUCCAGUAGGAUGUUACGUGCAAGCCGGCGCUUUUUUUUAACUGCAUUUCUAUAAAAAAAUAUACGAUGAAAUACAUUUUUGACGUGAGGUACACAAACAAAAUAAAGUACAGUUUUGCUAAAGCACAUCUAGAUAUGCUCUAAGUAUUGCACAUCUAAAUCCUAUAUCAUUGAUAUUAUUCUAAGAUUCGUGCAAGCAUUUUUUUUCAAUAUUUUUUCUUUUUCUUUCUAGUUUGAUUGAGUCACUUAGAUGUGCAAUAACUACGGAAUGUAGAGUAUUUUAUGGCAUAAGAACAUUUUGUUUAGAUUUUUUUUUUGAAACUUUAAAAUCCGAUUUCGCUCUAGCAGGUCCUAUUUUGUCCCAGCAUGCAACUAUAUAUGGGGCGGGGUUUGGACAAAAUACAUUUUUUUUUGUCAAAAUGACUUGUGUGCCUGGGAAUAGAGGGGAAGUGCCGUAUUAUAUGCCGCCGAAAUACCUUUUUUUUUGUUGGGAACGAUACGUGCAUGCCAGAAAAACAUCUCUCUGCUGUACACAUGUGCAUGCCUUUGAGGUUUGAGCUGGCGAUGUAUAUCAAACAACGUGUGCCCAAUGUCACGUUGGUUUUUCGUGUGCAAGAUUUGUAGAUUGCUGAUCACGCUUGGCGCGGGAAGUUUUUCGUGUGCAGAUACAUGGCUUUAUAUGACAGGUAAACUAGAGCCUUGUCUUUCCCCCUAUACUACUCCUAUCUUUAACUUUAUAAGAGAAAAAUAUAUUUUUCGUCUUUUAACUCUUGGCAAAAUCUAGAUUUAGUCCUUUAACUUUAAAACCAAACAAGUUGCAUUCUAAACUUUUAAAACCGGUAAUACUAUCUUUUACGAAGAACAAUCCUACCUUGUUUACACGUCCACUAAAUGCACCAUUGUAAAUUACUUUGACCGGUUUAAAUGAAAAACAAGGCUGAAAACCAACAUGAGCCAACACCGACACCAACACAAACAUGCCAACACCAUCUAACAUGACCACAAUCCAGAGCGAUAGUAAGCAAGAUCUUCGAAGAUGACUUCAAGAAGAAAAAACAAUGCCUAAAGACGCCGCUGUCACCGGCAUCGACCCCCGUCAAUCAAUAAGCUUUCGCAUAGACCCACACAUGACCGCCCCACCAAACAUUGGGAUAGAUCAAUCCUAGCCAUUAGCCUCCGAUGCCAGUCCUCGCCGACCAGCCACAGAUCAGUGUGAAAAAGUACUCUUCGACAAUAUCUCCAAGAGGAGGAGGACGCCCAUGGGCGCCAACAUCACCGGCAACGACCCCCGACUGAGAACAAGGCUUUCGCCCAGAGUCUUAUGCCUCGCCCCCUCUGAUCCAAGGUGUUGGAAAUAUUGGCAAUUUACCAUAUGAUUUUAUUAACGGAAAUACUAGAUAAAGCAUGACUAAAGUAACAGAGAUAAAGCAAGUCAUGCGAUCUGACAAAGAGAAGGUAGAUAACAUCUGCAAAUAUAAACUAGAACCGAACAUCUCUAGAGUAGACAGUAGACCAAGUAGCAUAUAUGAAGUAGAACCUAUCAUGUGUAGGGCAAGGACUGGAACAAGGAACUGUGGCAGAACCUCUAACAGGAAAAACAAGAACACGUACGGGACAGCAGCUGCAACAGUAGCACUGGACUUGGGGUCGGUGUCCUCGGUAGCCAUGUCGUGGAGGAGGUUGUCAACGUCGGGGAAGUAGUCGUCGUCGGGGACGUAGUCGUCGGAGUCUGGGGUGUCCGUGACGAAGAAGUCAGUAGUCGCGCAGAGCGCUCCCCAAAAACCUUAUCACCCUUCUCCCGUACAGGACUCAAAGAGGUGCGGUUUCGGAGGCCUACUGUCCCGACCUGCGGUGCACGCCGCAAGCGGGAUGAGGAAGAUCGUAGCAGCAGCGCAGUGUUCAGGAACCGGUGGCGAGAGGAAGAAUGAGUUUUGGUACAUCUCUCUGAGAGGAGCGACCUUCCUUUUAUAGGCGCAAGAGAAGGAGGCGAGAGGCUGCGUUGGGAGCUGAAGGGAACGAGGGAGAUGAAACGAACAGAUAGCAGCCGAAGGGUGCAGCAUUCGUAUUCAAUAUCCACUACAGCAAAAACUUUCCAGCUCCCGAGUGACCUUUCGUAUACCCGUAGUGCGUGGAAAAAAUUUAGACAUCGGCUAAUUCCCGCAACCCGCGGCGUGACGAGGCGUGGCGGGGCGGGCGGCGGAGGAGGAGCGCGCGUGGAUGUCCCUCUUGUUCUCAUGCUCAUACAAAUGGGGAAAGAACCUCCCUUAUAAAGAGGUCCAACUCCCUCUAAACUGGCAAUGUGGGACUAAACUUUAGUAGUGUCCCUUGCCUUGCACGAAUGGGCUAAGUGGGCCUCUAGGAUUUAUUAGGAAUUUCUGAAAUUGUUAUUGGGCUAGGCCCAUAAAUAGAUAAAAUUCCAGCAAUCCCCCAAGAUCCUAGAGCCACAUAGAAUUUGCCUUUAGUUCCAAAACACUGUUUUAUAUACCGGUACUGCAGUGGAGACUGUUAAGUUGAACUUCCACCUAGAACUCUAUGCUACACUAGUAAGCAACUUGAACAGUGGACUGGGCCUUGAACUACAAGUUUUCUGCGAAUCUAGCUUCACAUAAAGCCUUGACCGAUACGUGGCUACCGUGGGUCUUCCCGCGGGUGGAGCUUAUGCGUCAUACUCCGAGACCUUUCAUGAGUUUACUAGAGAGAACCCUACUCUCAUAGAUUGCGACGUUUAACAAUCAGACUCAUAUAGGUGUGUUCUUCAAAAGAUGUUCUGCAGGACAACAUCUCUGCUUAAAUGAGCCACUUAGAACACAUUAAGAUAUACAUCAACCUGCCAUACAGUUUUAGGAGAGUAUUGCAUCUUCAUGGAGUGGUAUUGUUAAUAGUAAGGAUACUCUCCUCUCAGUUGAUCAACAGCUUGUCUUCCACAUCUAAUUCACGGGAUCUCCGAUCACAAAGAAUAGGUUACCACUGUGAACAACUCAUAUUGUGGGCUCAUACCCAUCUCCCUCGAUGCAUUAUCUAUCACAUUACGUGAUAGACCCUUAGUAAAAGGAUCUGCCAGAUUUUUAGACUUUUGGAUAUAAUCCAAUGCAAUAACUCCGGAGUUUCUCAUUUUCCUGACAGACUUUAACCUUCUCUGAACGUGUCUUGAUGACUUCAUGUUAUCCUUUGAGCUGCUCACUUUUGUGAUCACAGUUUGAUUGUCGCAGUUCAUAAGGAUACCCGGUACAGGUUUCUCAACAGCCGGCAAGUCAUUCAAGAGCCGGCGAAGCCAAUCUGCUUCGACCGUAGUUGUUUCUAGUGUUGUGAGUUCUGCUUCCAUUGUUGACCUCGUUAAGAUGGUCUGCUUGCAAGACUUCCAAGAAACAGCGCCACCUCCAUGAGUGAAUACAUAACCGCUCGUGGCCUUUAUCUCAUCAGCAUCUGAGAUCCAGUUUGAGUCACUAUACCCUUCAAGCACCUUUGGGUGCCCAGUGUAGUGAAUUCCAUAAUUCGCAGUGCCUUUCAAAUAAUGCAAAACUCUCUCUAGAGCUUUCCAAUGCACAUCUCCUGGUUUUGAGACAAACCGACUCAGUUUGCUAACAGCAAAAGAGAUGUCAGGUCUUGUAGCACUGGCUAAGUACAUAAGCGAGCCAAUAAUCUGAGAAUAUUUCAAUUGAUCUCUAGCAAUUCUUCGAUUCUUUCGAAGUAACACACUCGCAUCAUAUGGUGUUGGAGAGGGCUUGCAGUCACUAUAGCCAAAGCGACUCAAGAUAUUUUCCACAUAGUGAGACUGAAGCAAUGUAAUCCCACCAUCAUCGUCUCUCAACAACUUGAUGUUCAAAAUGACAUCAGCCACUCCUAAAUCCUUCAGCUCAAAACAACGAGAUAGGAAAUCCUUGACCUCCUUAAUAACAUUUAGAUUUGUUCCAAAAAUCAGUAUGUCAUCAACAUACAAGCAAAGAAUAACUCCUUCGCCCCCACCAUGGCGAUAAUACACACAUUUAUCAGCUUCGUUUACAACGAAGCCUGCAGCGGUUAAAGUUCUUUCAAACUUCUCAUGCCACUGUUUGGGUGCUUGCUUGAGUCCAUACAAAGACUUCAGCAACUUGCAAACUUUUCCUUCCUGACCAUCUAGUACAAACCCAUCUGGUUGUUCCAUAUAAAUUUCCUCAUCCAACUCUCCAUUUAGGAAAGCAGUCUUAACAUCCAUUUGAUGAACGAGAAGACCAUGUGAGGCAGCUAGUGAAAGUAGAACUCGAAUAGUGGUCAGUCAAGCCACAGGUGAGUAAGUAUCAAAGAAGUCUUCACCUUCCUUUUGGUUAUAACCCUUAGCCACGAGCCGAGCCUUGUACUUUUCAAUAGUACCAUCAGGCCUAAGCUUCUUCUUGAAUACCCAUUUGCAUCCUAUAGGUUUGCACCCAUAAGGACGAUCAGUUAUCUCCCAAGUUUCAUUCGCCAAGAUGGAAUCCAUCUCGCUACGAACCGCUUCCUUCCAGUAGUCAGCAUCUUCAGAUGCAUAGGCCUCUGAAAUAGAACUGGGAGUGUCAUCUAUGAGAUACACAAGAAAAUCAUCACCAAAGGACUUUGCAAUCCUCUGUCUCUUGCUCCUAGUAGGAACUUCAUUGUUCUCCUCCACAGAGUUUUCAAAGUGUUCCAUCGAAAUGGCAGGUUCGGUAAUUGUAACUAGUUCCUGAUUCGAUGAACUAGGCAUCUCCUGAUUAGACGAGGUAGACAUAUCCUUCAUGGGAAAGAUAUCUUCAAAGAAAGUCGCAUCAUUCGACUCCAUGAUCGUACCGACAUGCAUGUCAGGUACCUCAGAUUUUACAACCAAGAAUCUAUAGCCAAUGCUAUGAAAAGCAUAUCCCAGGAAAACACAAUCCACAGUCUUUGGUCCAAGCUUCCGCUUCUUUGGAAUUGGAACAUUGACUUUCGCCAAACAACCCCAUGUUCGCAGAUAAGAGAGUUUUAACCUUUUCUUCUCCCAUUCCUCGAAUGGAGUUAUCUCUUUGUUUAGGACAAUGACAUGCCGUCAAUAUCGCCUCCCCCCACCAUGCCUUGGAGAGACCCGAUGUGUCUAACAUGGCGUUAACCAAAUCAGUUAGAGUACGGUUCUUUCUUUCGGCCACCCCAUUUGACUGAGGUGAGUAGGGAGGCGUCCUCUCAUGGAUUAUACCAUGUUCCGCACAAAAAGCAUCAAAUUCAUUGGAAAAAUACUCUCCACCACGGUCGGACCUAAGCCUCUUGAUUUUUUGAUCAAGUUGGUUUUCCACUUCAGCUUUAUAGAUCUUGAAAAAGUUCAAAGCCUCAUCCUUAGAUUUCAGAAGAUACACACGGCAAUAUCUAGUGGAGUCGUCAAUUAAUGUCAUGAAAUAUUUCUUUCCACCUUUUGUCAAAACACCAUUCAUUUCACAUAGAUCUGAAUGUAUGAGCUCGAGUGGUGCAAGAUUUCUCGUUUCCGCAGUCGUGUGAGACUUACGAGGUUGCUUAGCUUGCACACACACUUGACACUUAGAUCCCUUGACAGUGGUGAAACUAGGGAUUAAGUUCAACUUCGCUAGUCGCGACAUGCAACCAAAGUUAACACGACAAAGACGUGAAUGCCACACAUUUGAUUCACUAUUGUUGCAAAUAUUUAACAACUUUAUUGCAAACGUCUGAUAAGGCUAAACGAAACAGGCCUCCUGACUCAUAGCCUUUACCAACGAAGGUUCCAUACUUGGAUAUUACAAAUUUAUUCGACUCAAAGACAAGCUUGUAGCCAUCUCUACACAGAAAAGAUCCGCUAACAAAAUUUUUAUUGACGGAGGGGACAUAAUGCACGUUCUUCAGCCGCACGAUCUUCCCCGAAGUAAACUUCAGAUCGACCGUGCCAACACCACGAACAGAAGCACUUGAACCGUUGCCCAUCAACACGGUUGAAGUCCCUGCGGUCUGAUAAGACGAAAACAUGGAAAUAUCACCGCAUACAUGCACAUUAGCACCCGUGUCAAUCAACCAAUCAGGAGAAUGACAUACUGAAAGAAUAGUGGGAAAUAUACCAUACCCAGCAUCCUUUAUGUCAGUGUCUCCAAUGACAACAUUAGCGGUCUUGCCGCCUUUCCCAGGAUGACGCUUGUCAUAGCGAUUAGGGCAACUAGGAGCCCAAUGAUCAGGAUCCCCACACACAUGACAAGCACCUUUCUUCUUGUCAUUCUUCUUCUUGAAGUUCGUGUGUUGCAUAGCCUUGUUCUUCCCAUCAAACUUUGCUUUACCAUCAAACUUGCCCUUGUUCUUGAACUUGUGGGGCUGGAAGUUCUUCUUCUGUACCAGAUUGGCACUAGAUCCUCCCUCAAUACCUCGAGCACGUGUGUCCUUUGCUCUCGCCUUUUCUUCCACAUCAAGAGUGCCAAUGAGAUCCGGAACGGAAAACCCCUGCCUCUUAUGCUUCAGUAAGGUAGCAAAGUUCCUCCAUGAAGGAGGAAGCUUAUUGAUGAUACCUCCGGCAACAAACUUGUCCGGUAGCAUACAACUGAAGUGCUCAAGUUCUCUAGCAAAUGACUGUAUCUCAUGAGCUUGCUCAACCACGGAGCGCUCUUCAGUCAUCCUGUAACCAUAGAAUUGCUCCAUGAUGUACAGCUCAGUGCCAGCAUCCGAGACCCCAAACUUGGCCUCAAGUGCAUCCCACAUAUCUUUUCCAUUAUCAAUUGACGCAUAAGCAUCAAUUAUGUUCUCACCAAGAACACUCAAGAAAGCAGCCUUAAACAGAGUAUCCAUUUUCUAAAAAGCUUGUGCCUGUUGAGCAUCAAGAUCUCCUUCAGGUUUGCCAAGAAUGGUUUGAAACCAUAAGACUGCUCUCACGCGCCACCUCUUAUAGUGGAUACCCUCAAACAUAGGAGGUCUCAUGGAAGCAGCAAAACCACUUGGUGUAAAUUGCCUAUAAUAAGGUUUUUGGAUUGUUGGAAAUAUUGGCAAUUUACCAUAUGAUUUUAUUAACGGAAAUACUAGAUAAAGCAUGACUAAAGUAACAGAGAUAAAGCAAGUCAUGCGAUCUGACAAAGAGAAGGUAGAUAACAUCUGCAAAUAUAAACUAGAACCGAACAUCUCUAGAGUAGACAGUAGACCAAGUAGCAUAUAUGAAGUAGAACCUAUCAUGUGUAGGGCAAGGACUAGAACAAGGAACUGUGGCAGAACCUCUAACAGGAAAAACAAGAACACGUACGGGACGGCAGCUGCAACAGUAGCACUAGACUUGGGGUCGGUGUCCUCGGUAGCCAUGUCGUGGAGGAGGUUGUCGACGUCGGGGAAGUAGUCGUCGGAGUCCGGGGUGUCCGUGACGAAGAAGUCAGUAGUCGCGCAGAGCGCUCCCCAAAAACCUUAUCAUCCUUCUCCCGUACAGGACUCAAAGAGGUGCGGUUUGGGAGGCCUACUGUCCCGACCUGCGGUGCAUGCCGCAAGCCGGGAUUAGGAAGAUCAUAGCAGCAGCACAGUGUUCAGGAACCGGUGGCGAGAGGAAGAAUGAGUUUGGUACAUCUCUCUGAGAGGAGCGACCUCCCUUUUAUAGGCGCAAGAGAAGGAGGCGAGAGGCUGCGUCGGGAGCUGAAGGGGACGAGGGAGAUGAAACGAACAGAUAGCAGCCGAAGGGUGCAGCAUUCGUAUUCAAUAUCCACUACAGCAAAAACUUUUCAGCUCCCGAGUGACCUUUCGUAUACCCUAGUGCGUGGCAAAAAUUUAGACAUUGGCUCAUUCCCGCAACCCGUGGCGAGGCGUGGCGGGCGACGGAGGAGGAGCGCGCGUGGAUGUCCCUCUUGUUCUCAUACUCAUACAAAUGGGGAAAGAACCUCCCUCAUAAAGAGGUCCAACUCCCUCUAAACUGGCAAUGUGGGGCUAAACUUUAGUAGUGUCCCUUGCCUUGCACGAAUGGGCUAAAUGGGCCUUUAGGAUUUAUUAGGAAUUUCUGAAAUUAUUACUGGGCUAGGCCCAUAAAUAGAUAAAAUUCCAGCAAGGUAGGGGCCAGGCCCCUGCAAACAUCAACAUCGACGAACCAAACCAGAAGGAAAAAAGAAACGCCCCGGCCUCCACAACACCAUGAAGGGCUGCCUGCAUAGGUGUUGACACCACCACCACCACUACUACGAGGACUCUUGAAGCCACAAUGCAGCAACCGCCUCGCAUCCGCGCUGUCGACGGAGGCCAACCUCGCCGCCAACUAACGCUCUAGUCUGCUGCCCGUGCAACCGCGACCAAAGCACGCCAACGACGCCUACCAACACCACCACUGUGCUACCAUUCGCCACGCGCCGCACUGCCACACCCAUCGCCGUCCCGUAGAGGGAAAAGUGCAGCUGUGCCGUCACCGACCCCAAGAGGUCACCUCCAAAGACGGAGCAGCAGAUCGGGCGCCGCCCCGAUCUGAGCCCUUCGAGCCGGCGCACGAGCAACCACCGCCGCGCAGCACUGGCGCCUCCCAGACGGAGUUCAUAUCCACAGGCAAAUGAUACAACAUAUACCAUUAUAUCUCAGUCAUGGUAGUACAUCAGGGCAGCAACAUGGCAUCCAUCAUGAUGGCUUUUAUUUCGAACAAGGAAUGGAAAUACACACACAUAAAACAGAGUGACACACUGGUUUGGAUACUCUCGAUGGGAUCCAAUUUUAUUGAACGCAAAGGUGAGACACGACCUUGCCCUGUGAAAUCUCAGACCAUGGAUACGCAUCAUUACGCAUCAAGGGAAGUGAGGCCAGCAUCACCGUUACAGAAAUUGACACAAGCAUC
This 10245-nucleotide long non-coding RNA is filed under the name Triticum aestivum (bread wheat). RNAcentral's name for it is "long non-coding RNA (TAES_LNC019808)". The record is from RNAcentral. Lineage: Eukaryota; Viridiplantae; Streptophyta; Magnoliopsida; Poales; Poaceae.